GCCAGGAUCCGGACACUGGAGACGCAGCUGGUGGAGAUGGAGACACGGCACAGCAAGGUGGUGACACUGUACCGGAGCCACCUGCUCUAUGCAGUGCAGGGCCACAUGGAUGAGGACGUGCAGAAGCUCCUGUGCCAGAUCCUGAAGAUGCAGCGGCUGCAGGAACAGGGCAGAUGAGCUCUGGCCGACCAGGGAGCACCGCGG
This is a non-coding RNA of Tinamus guttatus (white-throated tinamou), 204 nucleotides long. NCBI's taxonomy places the organism in Eukaryota, Metazoa, Chordata, Aves, Tinamiformes, Tinamidae. The record is from RefSeq and is a predicted model, not a curated record.